RNAcentral lists this ribosomal RNA (440 nucleotides) under uncultured bacterium. Its description in RNAcentral is "partial 16S ribosomal RNA". It matches the Rfam family "Bacterial small subunit ribosomal RNA", at positions 338 to 795 of the family's 1533-position model. The record is from RNAcentral.
CCUACGGGAGGCAGCAGUGGGGAAUAUUGCACAAUGGGGGAAACCCUGAUGCAGCGACGCCGCGUGAGUGAAGAAGUAUUUCGGUAUGUAAAGCUCUAUCAGCAGGGAAGAAAAUGACGGUACCUGAUCAAGAAGCCCCGUCUAACUACGUGCCAGCAGCCGCGGUAAUACGUAGGGGGCAAGCGUUAUCCGGAUUUACUGGGUGUAAAGGGAGCGUAGACGGCAGCACAAGUCUGGAGUGAAAUGGCGGGGCUUAACCCCGGAACUGCUUUGGAAACUGUGCAGCUAGAGUGCAGGAGAGGUAAGUGGAAUUCGUAGUGUAGCGGUGAAAUGCGUAGAUAUUAGGAAGAACACCAGUGGCGAAGGCAGCUUACUGGACUGUAACUGACGUUGAGGCUCGAAAGCGUGGGGAGCAAACAGGAUUAGAUACCCUUGUAGUC